Molecule: ribosomal RNA, 254 nt
Filed under: uncultured bacterium
Lineage: Bacteria
Description: partial 16S ribosomal RNA
Rfam family: Bacterial small subunit ribosomal RNA
Source: RNAcentral
UACGUAGGGGGCGAGCGUUGUCCGGAUUUAUUGGGCGUAAAGAGCUCGUAGGCGGCUUGGCAAGUCGGGUGUGAAAACUCCAGGCUCAACCUGGAGACGCCACUCGAGACUGCUAUGGCUAGAGUCCGGUAGGGGACCACGGAAUUCCUGGUGUAGCGGUGAAAUGCGCAGAUAUCAGGAGGAACACCGGUGGCGAAGGCGGUUCUCUGGGCCUUACCUGACGCUGAGGAGCGAAAGCGUGGGGAGCAAACAGG